Molecule: long non-coding RNA, 622 nt
Filed under: Homo sapiens (human)
Lineage: Eukaryota; Metazoa; Chordata; Mammalia; Primates; Hominidae
Description: HSALNT0132232
Source: RNAcentral
CAGAGGAGCUGGGACUACAGGCGCCCGGCACCAGACUCGACUAAUUUUUUGUAUUUUUAGUAGAGACGAGUUUCACCGUGUUAGGCAGGAUAGUCUCGAUCUCCUGACCUCGUGAUCCGCCCGCCUCAGCCUCCCAAAGUGCCGGCGUGAUUACAUGUGUGAGCCACCGCACCGGCCAGACACACUGAACUUUAAGGAAGUCAACUCACCUCACCGGCAUCAGGCAUCUUCAUCAGGAAAUUCUGUGAUGUGGUACACAAAGUUCAGCACUGUCACAGAGAAGUCAGAGAGACUGAUGGAUGCCUUUAAAAUAUCCUCAACGCUGCACGUAAAAGGCACGUGUUGCUGUGGGUGAAGAAGUUAAUGUAAGUAAAAUGAACUCGUUUGUUUUUUAAGGGAGUGUAUUUUCCACAUUGUGUAUUUUAAGGAAUAAACUGUGAUAUCUUGAGGAUAGACAAAAUCCAGGUAUGUCCUGAGGCAUCUGUCUUGUAGUCACAGGAUCGGCCCCAGGAAAACAGGGCCAUUUUUCCAUCAUGCACCUCCCUCCAGCCUGCAUUCCCUUUCCCCAGAUGUAGAAGUCUCCAAGCUUCCUCAGCUCCCUGUUAGGAAGGACAUCUCUAAA